UGCGUGCUGCUUCCCACUAUGCCCACCAAUGAUUCAGCCAUCAAAGUAAUUUUUCUGAAACACUUAUUUCAUAAAGUGGAACAGAGUCUUCUAGAGUUUGUUAAAGAAAACCAAAAGCCUACAAAUUGUUUACUUCUUGUGAUCAGAUUUUUUGUCUAGACAUUUCAGAUUUUAUUGGGAUAUUAACUGUUCUCUUCUAAUCCCAUUUAUAGAUCUUGAGUAGCAACAACAAUGCAAAGGAGCAACUAUCUAGAAAGUCAAAAAACUUCCCCAAACAUUCUCAACAUGUGUCUGGAAGUGUUGUUCGAAGAGGCUCCAUAGAAAAAACUUUCACAGCAUACACCACUUUCUGAUUCCAAUACCGUCAUUGAUCAGAUGUCCACAGCAUUAAAAUUGCUUUAGUUAUUUCUUCUGAAGUCCAAAUACAUUACACAUCCAAUGCACCUGGUUUCUCUAGCAGGAAAAACUGGAAUCCCAAGGUCAGUACUGCUUAUUGGCUUCACAAAGAACACAUCAAAUCAAGAUACUUUAAUAUACCACUGGAUCUACCUUCUGUUUAUAUCUUAAGUUAUGUGUUGUGAUGAGAUAUAUGAAAGAUAUGGAAUCUAUAUAUGAAAGAUAUGGAAUCUAAUUUAAAUUACACAACAGCUAAUGAA
Chelonia mydas (Green sea turtle) is the source of this 656-nucleotide long non-coding RNA. RefSeq lists it as uncharacterized. The record is from RefSeq and is a predicted model, not a curated record. The transcript is spliced from 2 exons. NCBI's taxonomy places the organism in Eukaryota, Metazoa, Chordata, Testudines, Cheloniidae.